RNA transcript from Symphalangus syndactylus (siamang), 7999 nucleotides. It is a transcript of the gene named AU RNA binding methylglutaconyl-CoA hydratase, with no coding region annotated. NCBI's taxonomy places the organism in Eukaryota, Metazoa, Chordata, Mammalia, Primates, Hylobatidae. The record is from RefSeq and is a predicted model, not a curated record.
AGCCGUGCGCGUGCGCGCGGCAGGUCGGCGCCGGGCGGCGGCGGAGCGGCACUGGCAGUUCCACGCCGUAAACAGACAACAUGGCGGCCGCGGUGGCGGCGGCACCUGGGGUCUUGGGAUACUUGCAUGCUGGCGGUGCCCGCCUGGUGGCCGCUUGCAGUGCGUGGCUCUGUCCGGGGUUGAGGCUGCCCGGCUCGUUGGCAGGCCGGCGGGUGGGCCCGGCGAUCUGGGCCCAGGGCUGGGUACCUGCGGCCGGGGGUCCCGCCCCGAAAAGGGGCUACAGCUCUGAGAUGAAGACGGAGGACGAGCUGCGGGUGCGGCACCUGGAGGAGGAGAACCGAGGAAUUGUGGUGCUUGGAAUAAACAGAGCUUAUGGCAAAAAUUCACUCAGUAAAAAUCUUAUAAAAAUGCUAUCAAAAGCUGUGGAUGCUUUGAAAUCUGAUAAGAAAGUACGGACCAUAAUAAUCAGGAGUGAAGUCCCAGGGAUAUUCUGUGCUGGUGCUGACCUUAAGGAAAGAGCCAAAAUGAGUUCCAGUGAAGUUGGUCCUUUUGUCUCCAAAAUAAGAGCAGUGAUUAAUGAUAUUGCUAAUCUUCCAGUACCAACAAUUGCAGCAAUAGAUGGACUCGCUUUAGGUGGUGGUCUUGAACUGGCAUUAGCUUGUGAUAUACGAAUAGCAGCUUCCUCUGCAAAAAUGGGCCUGGUUGAAACAAAACUGGCAAUUAUUCCUGGUGGAGGGGGGACACAGCGAUUGCCACGCACCAUUGGAAUGUCCCUGGCCAAGGAGCUCAUAUUCUCUGCGCGAGUCCUCGAUGGCCAAGAAGCCAAAGCAGUGGGCUUAAUCAGCCACGUUCUGGAACAGAACCAGGAGGGAGACGCUGCCUACAGAAAGGCCUUGGACCUGGCGAGAGAGUUUUUACCUCAGGGACCUGUUGCAAUGAGAGUGGCAAAAUUAGCAAUUAAUCAAGGGAUGGAGGUCGAUUUAGUAACAGGGUUAGCCAUAGAAGAAGCUUGUUAUGCUCAGACUAUUCCAACAAAAGACAGACUUGAAGGUCUUCUUGCUUUUAAAGAGAAAAGGCCCCCUCGCUAUAAAGGAGAAUAAAAGGAACAGAAAUUCUUAAGAUGCCAAUGUAAUAAAUGUACUUCUGGAAGUGUCUUUCAGAUCCAGUAUAUGCCUCAGCACAUGGAAUCUUAAUGACCAAAGUGAAGAGCAGAUUAUUCAUAUAGUGUAAUAAGCAUCCGGAAUAGACCCAUCCGUGUACUUCAUUCAAAUGUGUAAAUGUCAUAUUCAUUCAGAUUUAUAAAGCUAGUAGUGUAUAGUCAGAAACAGAAUCAAAGUGAGAUAUACAUUUUUAAAUAUUUACUGCAUAUGAGGCUUUCUGUUCUUAAUUUUUUAAUGUGAAUAAUUUAUAUAUUGCACAUUCUAGGGAAUAAUAUUAAUUGUAUGUCUACUGUGCUGCAUUAAGAAAAUAAAAUUUCUAUAUACCAAAAAAGGGGAGUUAUACCAAAUAAAGUUUCUAAGUGAUUAAUGCAUACGAACAGAUACAUAUACAUAUAUCUAAACCUGAAAAAUGAAUUGAUAUUCUGAGUGAAAACUACCUAAUAUAAAUAAAAUUAGUGAAAAGAAAACAUGAGAAUCUUUCUCUUACCCCAUUCUUUUUGAAUUGACUAAAUCAUUGCAUGCUGGACUUUAGAAGAAACAAUCCUUUCAUUGCUGCUUCUAUCAGGCAACCUCUUUACAUAGUCCUGUAAUACAGUAUUGAAGGUGAAGAAUUAAUCCAAAGACAGAAGCCAAAGAACUGAAGCGGACAGGAGACCUGGUGCAGUGGGACUUCAGGACCUCCUCCCAGCAAGUGGUGUGGCGGCUGCCUGGCCUAGGAAAGGAGAUGUUUGCACACAAAGGAGGAAAGAAAAUGGGGCAGCCAGGAUUGGAGCAUGGAAAUGGCUUGGGGUCAUGGAUUAAAGUGGAGACUGUUCUCUGCUUCCUUACCCUCAGCUGUUUGCAUCCACUUUCUGGAAGGGAAAGAGGUGAACUUAACAACCCUUUGUCCUAACAAACACCUGCCUUCCUACCCAGGCCAGGUCAAGAAGCUGUAAACGGAGAGCCUCCAGGUUGCAUACCUGAGUAGCCACACCUGGGGAGUAGGCACAGGUAGGAGUUGUGUGGGACAUCGGGAACUGGAGAAUUCGCUGUGGAAAAAGGAAGGAGAACAUUCUGAUGCCCUUAAAUAAUUUGAAAUAGCUCUACUUUACAUUCAUUUUACCAAACCACCCUGCCUUCCUAGUUUGUGCCAAGUCUGAGUGUGGUCAUGCUGGAGACGACGUCCCCGGCAGUGCCCGUGCAGCAAGCUUCACUGUGGUACAGCUCAGCUGUGUCCCUAAGGUGUCCUCCUUUCACAUUUCCGUAUAUCAGAUAAACUCCCAUUUUACUGUGGAUUUACAUCGUCAUCGUGGCGACUUCAUUGCUAUUUGAAGGCAUGUGGGCUUCAUUUUUUAAAUUCUGAAACUUAUAUUUUUUAACUUGGGAAUUUGAAGUCAGCCUCAAUUCUAAAAUUCUUAUAAGAGGCAAAUGUGGACUGGCCGUCUGCUGAUGUCUGUCCUGACCAAAGUAGGCGGUGUCUUCACUAAUGUUUGGACACUAAGGUAAGCGCUGUUUUCUUUAUCAGCUUAGGUGCUGAGGCUCUGUGGAUUUAUGAUGAUUGCUCAGCUGAUCAUACUAUAAAGAGGGCUUACUAAAAUUCACAUUUGGCUCGCUCUGUGGUGGUCGUAUCGGGUGGCAUGCAUACUUGUUUACUGAUAAACUUGCUGAGCUGUUCGUUUUGUGCAUGAUAAUCUGCACCUAAAAUGCUGCUGGUGGUUUUCAUAGCCCUUUAAAGGUUGCAGGGCCAGUUUGUCCUAUCCAUGACAUGCUAAAUACCACUUUCUCUUGAACUGAGCAGGAAAUAAUUAUGUUGUUAGGAAAAAAUAUUAAGAGUGUGCUGUAUGAGUCGUUUCUCUUCGGUUCAUAGUCUAGUCUACUGUCACUGAUCGAGCACCAUUUAAUUUCCUAACAAGUUCUGAUGAAGUCACUAGAAUGUAUCUAAAAGCAAAGUCCUGUAGUGACUUAAGGUAUUGCAGACUUCACGUAUUAUGGCAGAGAAAAGUGCCUGUCCAAUUCUCUGAAUAAAUGUUUGCCUUUCUCUUGAUUUUCCUUUCAGUAUAGGUCUUGCUGCUAAGCAGUCCUGAUCCUCCCCCAAGUCAAGCUCACGGGGCUCUGGAUAGGGCCGUGCUACCUAGGGAGGGUCCCCUGCCUGGGCUGCUCCUCUUUCUCCAGCACACCGCCUGUUGGUGCAUACAGCUGGAAAUGCAGUAGACGUAUCCAUGUGUUCAGACUAGGUUAGAGAAGGCUCUCAAAAAAGAAGGAUGAGCGAUCAAGCACAGAUAGAAUUCAGAGGAUGAAAGCAAAAUAAAAAGUUUCCCGUUAUCUCAGAGCAUGAGGCCUACUGGUUUUGAAGUGAUUUAGUGCUAGUUAAUUUCUAACUUGUCUAUGAAAGGAAAGGAAAAGAGGUCUCCAAGUUUCUAAGGUUCUGAGGCAAGAGAAAAGUUGUAGUAAUGGCCAAAAUAAGAGUCAGAUUUUCUGAGAUUGAUUUCUGUAACGUAAAGGAUCAUUUCACAUUUGCUUCGUUCUUAAUAAUGAUGGAUCUGGUUUUCCUGUCAAUCAUCUUUUUUGUUGUUUUUCUAGCAAUCAAAAAUUGGCUUGUCACAAAGUGUUACUUUUCUGAUAGCACUUUUCUAAGUGCUUUGUGAAUAGGCCAAAGCAGUGGAGUGUUGAUUCAUGGAUCAGCACUUAGAAAAAGUGUGUACCUGCACAUGGGUGUGUUGCUGGCCGGCCAUCAGCCCUUUUCCUCACUUGACCUGAACUUCUACCUCUGGUGAUAUGCCCUACAUUUGUUCUUAUUUGGGCUCCAAAGAUCCUGGCACACACAUUCAGAAAUAGUUAAUCAUGCCAUUAUUUGUCUACUGAUCUAGUAAAAUAUUAACUAAUACUUACAUCAGUAUGUAUUGAACUUUACCAGAAUAGCAAUAGAAGUUAUUUUCUCAUAGUCUAUUAAUAACUGUUUACAUGUUUCACAAACAAUAAAACAUUUUAAAGUUAGUUGCUAAUAUUCUGGUAACACGAGGUACUUUUCUGUGUAGAGGAAGCAGGAUACAGAUUGUGAUUUGGGGUAUUUUGGGAGGCGGAAGGUGGUCGAAUCCUCUGUUCAAUUGUAUUUGUGUCUCAGGCUCCAAAAAAUCACUGUUUCAAAUGCUUGCCUUUGGAUUUUCACAGUCUUCUUUGGGACCUCCAAAAAUUCAGCUACCCCUUAGAGGGUUAGCACCUAAUAAGCAACUUAGUGUACACUAUUUGUUUUCCAAAAUAAUUCUCAGGGCAGCAUGAGAGAUCUGGGGACCUGGUGGGGAAAAUAAAGGAUGUCAAGGACAGACCAAGACAUGCACCCGUGUGGCUCGGGAGCAGCCCUGGAGAUGCGCCCGUGUGGCAAGACGUGAGAUGGCCCCUCCUCCUGGAGCUGGCAGUUCCCUCAGGGGUCCCAAAGUGAGCUCCUAGUAACCAACAUCACACAGGAGCUCUUUGGCCAAGUUCCAGAUCCACCGAAGUCAGCGAUGAGACCAUGGACAAAGUGCCUCAUGUCCCUGAGCCCAUUUCUUCAUUUGUAAAAGAAUCCAGUAGUUGUUCAGGAUGGUUUUGAAGAUCCGGUCACAUUGGAUGUGAUCUGUAUAAAAGUGCUUUAUGUGGUGGUUGUGUUUUAUUUGUUUCAUAUUUCAGAAGAUGAGAAGGUGGGUCUCACAACCACGGCUGGUUUGGGGGCAUGUACAAGAACCUGGGCUCUUCACUUAGGAAAGAGAAGUCUAGGGAAACAUGGUAGCUGCCUCCAGUAGAACUGCAAUAUGAAACAGGUCUUCAGAGGCUUCCAGGGCAAGGGGAAGCCAUGCAGGGCUCCUCCCCACCUCCCCACUUCUGCUCAUUGCUCUGCACAUGUCCAGAGACAAGAGAUGUGGACUAAACUCUAUGCGGGGAAGCUACUUACACCCUCCUAGGUCCAAAAGCUGCCCCCUGCCUCUGGAGUGUUAGAGCAGAAAGUGGGCAGGCAUGGGCAAGGCCAUUGCUGUGGGAAGUUAAGAGGCACCAGAGGACAGUUCUUCCAACUUAGACGGUUUUUGUGAAGUGAAAGCAGACUGCAGGCCUCAGCACUGGCGCAGAUCGGUGCAGGCCUCUAACACUGGCACGGAUGUAGCAGAUGAGAAAGAUGGGUCUCCUUACAAAUACUGGUUGUUAGUGAGUUGGGCCUUGAGAGACAGAGAAAACAGGUAUCUGCCUAAGGUGUGUCUGGUUAACUAUAUUGGCCCUUGAGGUAAUCUACAGUUGAAGGAGUUUUAGUUCCUCUAACAUUUUAAGAAAUCAUUCUCACGUUUGAGUGCCAUGUUUAUAGUACCAAUUUUUGGGACCAGGGUGGGAAGAUUGCCCUGAGCAAAGCUGCCCAUUUUCCCAUCACCUGGUUGGUUUUCAUGGAGCAGCCCACCUGCUCCCCACCUCAGGAGAUACUGAAGGACUCUAGCCCUGCGGUGGGCUGUGGUCAGGCCAAGGGUAGGCCAGGCUUCCUUCCUAGGCUUCAGUUCAUUCCCCCAUCUUGCUGCCAAGGUACUUUUAGAUGUUUUGGUCCCCUAAAGCAUUUAAACAGACUGACGUGUAAAAUGCUGUCUGAACAAAGUCUCCCAUGAACCCACAGCACAGUGUGCACCUGAACCUCCCAAGAGAAAUAGUAAAAUCACCACAUCAUCAAGUUGCAGCUCAGGGACUGUAUAGCUUUAGUGGUGAUGUUUGCAGGAAAAGGUUUCAGAGAAAUUUGAAAAUUGGCAGGUGCACUUUCUUGACCUUUCUAAAAAUAGUCUGAGUCACUUUCACUUUCAGCUUUCAAACUGUGUUGAAUGAAACCUUUGUGCAGUUUACAGAAAGUGAAGAACUGUUUGGCAAGAGAGAGAAGUUCGAGCUCCUAAUAGCCUUGGCUGCAUUGAGUAAUAUUUCUUUUGAGUUGUCUAUUAACACUUUCAUGAAACGUGCUUUUUAUGAUGCCUAGAACUUGUAUAAGAGUGACUGUAAUUUGAGUUCUUUAAAAAUGUAAGUACAAGAAAUGUGUCACAUGCCAUAAGAGCUAGGAAAUGACAGCUCACAUUCAUCUUGGUGGAAGGAAACUCUAAUUAUUGGAAGAUGUGAUUGGAAUAUUUGUUCUUAAUACCUACGGGUGGCUCUGUCGUAUGCUUGCCUAACACCAGUAUUGGCAUGCAAGUAACACUGAAAACCUCCUUUCUUUUCCUCUGGUCUUUGUGGGAAGGCAUGGUGUGAGUCGAGAUUGCUAAACCACUCUUCUGAGAGGACUCAGAGAGAGUGUUUAUCCUAGACCAUCCAUGGCGGUGGUACUUCUGAGUUCAGUUAUGGUGUGAUCUCAUUAGUCCAGGCUCAGAAUGGCUCGGUAACCUCAAAACUCCAAGCCCUCGGUGCUUGCUUUGCUUCCCUAGACUUGCAGCUUAUGUAUGCCCACAUGUGCUUCAUGUGUAUUAAAAAUGCUUGCAUGUGUAGAUAGGAAGAUAUAUGUUGACUGCCCUGAAAAACUUGACAUCCUAACAUUUAAAAUUGUUUUGAGUUUCCCCUGGGUAUAAACUAGUCUUCAAAUGUAAACAUGAUGAGCAGCGUAGGGGUUAUGGUACCAGAGAAAAGAACCAAAUCUUGGCCCUGGCCCAGCCCUACCCCUUGUGCUCUGUUACCUGCAGUAGAGGUGGAGUGGGGGCCAUACCUGUGAGCGGGACCUCAUCUUAUCUAUUCCUUAGACCCACCCAAGAGCAGGGAUUCCCAAAACUGCUGGCACCUGUAAGAGGUAUUGUAUUCUUGGACUCCAUUCCAUAACCUCUCAUCAGGAUUCCGGGUUUGGAAUUCUAGAAUCAAUGUUGAGGAAAAAGACACCUUGGCAAUUUUAUUUUUCUAGGUAUAAUUCACAUACCAUGAAAGUCACUCUUUAAAUUGUACAAUUCAGUGGUUUUUUAGUAUAUUCAGAGUUGUAUAACCAUGACCACUAGCUAAUUCAGAAUAUUUUCAUUGCCUCCCAACAAGCCUAGUACUCACGAGUAGUCACUCCCUUGCCCAUUCCCUCCACCCCUAAGCCCCUGGCAACCACUAAUCUACUUUCUGCCUCUAUGCAUUUGCCUAUUUGAGACAUUCAUAUGAAUGGAAUUAUAUAAUAUGUAGACUUUUGUAUCUGUUUUUUUCAUUUAGCAUAAAAAUUUUCAAGAUUUGUCCACAGUGUAGUGUGUCUCAGUACUUCUUUCCUUUUUAUCACUGAAAAUAUUUCAUUGUAUGUAUAUGUCACAUUUUGUUAUCUACUCAUCAAUUGAUGAAUACUUGUAUUGUUUCCACUUUGGCUGUUAAAAAUAAUGCUGUUAUGAACAUGUGUGUACAAGUAUUUGUGUGGGUAUAUGUUAUUUCUCUUGGGCAUACCUACAAAUGGAAUUACGGGAUCAUAUGACAACUUUAUGUUUAAUUUUUUGAGAAACUACAAAACUAACGAGCUGUACCAUUUUCUAAUCCCACCAGCAAUGAAUAGGGUUCUAAUUUUUCCACAUCUUCAUCAACAUUUGUUAUUGAUCUUUUUGAUUAUAGCCAAUCUAGUGAGUGUGAACUGGUAUCUUAUUGUGAUUGUGAUUUUGAUUUGCAGUUCCCUAAUGAUGUUGAACAGAUGUUCUUAUGCUUGUUGGCCAUUUGUAUAGUCUUUAGAGAUAUAUCACAUAUAUCUAUUUUGCCCGUUUCUAACUGAGCAAAACAGAAAAAAAAAUUGAGUUGUAAAUGUUCUUUAUGUAUACUGCAUACAAGCCCCUUAACAGAUAUAUGAUUUGCAAAUCUUUUCUAUUCUGUAGGUUGUUUCUCCAUGUUCUUGUUGGUAUACUUGGAAGCAUAAAAGUUUUUAUUCUGGUGGA